Etheostoma spectabile (orangethroat darter) is the source of this 116-nucleotide long non-coding RNA. RefSeq lists it as uncharacterized. Lineage: Eukaryota; Metazoa; Chordata; Actinopteri; Perciformes; Percidae. The record is from RefSeq and is a predicted model, not a curated record. The transcript is spliced from 3 exons.
CAAAACAUGACAAAAAGUGUCAAAAUAUUUUGCAUUCAUUGUGCUAUUGAAUCAUAUAUUUUAAAUGCAACUAUACACAUGUUCAUUGUGUAAACCCCUACAUGCAAAUAGAGCAA